This 468-nucleotide ribosomal RNA is filed under the name uncultured bacterium. RNAcentral's name for it is "partial 16S ribosomal RNA". It matches the Rfam family "Bacterial small subunit ribosomal RNA", at positions 28 to 507 of the family's 1533-position model. The record is from RNAcentral.
GACGAACGCUGGCGGCGUGCUUAACACAUGCAAGUCGAACGGAAAGGCCCUGCUUUUGUGGGGUGCUCGAGUGGCGAACGGGUGAGUAACACGUGAGUAACCUGCCCUUGACUUUGGGAUAACUUCAGGAAACUGGGGCUAAUACCGGAUAGGAGCUCCUGCUGCAUGGUGGGGGUUGGAAAGUUUCGGCGGUUGGGGAUGGACUCGCGGCUUAUCAGCUUGUUGGUGGGGUAGUGGCUUACCAAGGCUUUGACGGGUAGCCGGCCUGAGUGGGUGACCGGCCACAUUGGGACUGAGAUACGGCCCAGACUCCUACGGGAGGCAGAAGUGGGGAAUAUUGCACAAUGGGCGGAAGCCUGAUGCAGCAACGCCGCGUGCGGGAUGACGGCCUUCGGGCUGUAAACCGCUUUCGCCUGUGACGAAGCGUGAGUGACGGUAAUGGGUAAAGAAGCACCGGCUAACUACGUG